This 485-nucleotide ribosomal RNA is filed under the name uncultured bacterium. Its description in RNAcentral is "partial 16S ribosomal RNA". It matches the Rfam family "Bacterial small subunit ribosomal RNA", at positions 28 to 523 of the family's 1533-position model. The record is from RNAcentral.
GACGAACGCUGGCGGCGUGCUUAACACAUGCAAGUCGAACGGGGCUCAUCGCUUCGGUGGUGGGUCUAGUGGCGAACGGGUGAGUAACACGUGGGCAACCUGCCCCCGGCUCUGGGAUAACUCCAAGAAAUUGGGGCUAAUACCGGAUGUGACCGCUGGCCGCAUGAUCUGGUGGUGGAAAGGGUUUCCGGCUGGGGAUGGGCCCGCGGCCUAUCAGCUUGUUGGUGGGGUAGUGGCCUACCAAGGCGACGACGGGUAGCCGGCCUGAGAGGGUGACCGGGCACACUGGGACUGGGACAGGGCCCAGACUCCUAAGGGAGGCAGCAGUGGGGAAUAUUGCGCAAUGGGCGGAAGCCUGACGCAGCGACGCCGCGUGGGGGAUGACGGCCUUCGGGUUGUAAACCUCUUUCAGCAGGGACGAAGCCGCGAGGUGACGGUACCUGCAGAAGAAGCACCGGCCAACUACGUGCCAGCAGCCGCGGUAA